RNAcentral lists this ribosomal RNA (253 nucleotides) under uncultured bacterium. RNAcentral describes it as "partial 16S ribosomal RNA". It matches the Rfam family "Bacterial small subunit ribosomal RNA", at positions 524 to 776 of the family's 1533-position model. The record is from RNAcentral.
UACGUAGGGAGCUAGCGUUUAUCGGAAUCACUGGGCGUAAAGGGAGCGUAGGCGGAAAGGUAAGUUAGGAGUGAAAUCUGUUGGCUUAACUGGCAGCUUGCUUCUAAAACUGCUUUUCUUGAGUAUGGGAGAGGGUGAUGGAAUUCCAGGUGUAGCGGUGGAAUGCGUAGAUAUCUGGAAGAACACCAGUUGCGAAGGCGGUCACCUGGCCCAAUUCUGACGCUGAGGCUCGAAAGCUAGGGGAGCAAACAGG